This 351-nucleotide RNase P RNA is filed under the name Leucothrix mucor. RNAcentral's name for it is "RNase P RNA component class A". It matches the Rfam family "Bacterial RNase P class A". Rfam says of the family: Ribonuclease P (RNase P) is a ubiquitous endoribonuclease, found in archaea, bacteria and eukarya as well as chloroplasts and mitochondria. Lineage: Bacteria; Pseudomonadati; Pseudomonadota; Gammaproteobacteria; Thiotrichales; Thiotrichaceae. The record is from RNAcentral.
AGAGUUGACUGGGCAAUCGCGCUUUUGUUGUUUCGACAGCAAAAGGGAGGAAAGUCUGGGCUCCAUAGGGUAGGACGCCAGAUAACAUCUGGGCAGCGUGAGCUGACGGCAAGUGCAGCAGAGAGAAGACCGCCAACAUUGUUGGUAAGGGUGAAAGGGUGCGGUAAGAGCGCACCGCACAACUGGCAACAGUUUGUGGCAAGGUAAACCCCGUUCGGAGCAAGAUCAAAUAGGAACACAUAUGGCGCGACCCGCGUUGUGUUCGGGUAGAUCGCUUGAGGUAUAUGGCGACAUAUUAUCCAGAUGAAUGAUUGUCUAAAACAGAACCCAGCUUAUAGGUUGACUCUAUAA